GACGAACGCUGGCGGCGUGCUUAACACAUGCAAGUCGAACGGAAAGGCCCUGCUUUUGUGGGGUGCUCGAGUGGCGAACGGGUGAGUAACACGUGAGUAACCUGCCCUUGACUUUGGGAUAACUUCAGGAAACUGGGGCUAAUACCGGAUAGGAGCUCCUGCUGCAUGGUGGGGGUUGGAAAGUUUCGGCGGUUGGGGAUGGACUCGCGGCUUAUCAGCUUGUUGGUGGGGUAGUGGCUUACCAAGGCUUUGACGGGUAGCCGGCCUGAGAGGGUGACCGGGCACAUUGGGAAUGGGAUAAGGGCCAGACUCCUACGGGAGGCAGCAGUGGGGAAUAUUGCACAAUGGGCGGAAGCCUGAUGCAGCAACGCCGCGUGCGGGAUGACGGCCUUCGGGUUGUAAACCGCUUUCGCCUGUGACGAAGCGUGAGUGACGGUAAUGGGUAAAGAAGCACCGGCUAACUACGUG
This 468-nucleotide ribosomal RNA is filed under the name uncultured bacterium. Its description in RNAcentral is "partial 16S ribosomal RNA". It matches the Rfam family "Bacterial small subunit ribosomal RNA", at positions 28 to 507 of the family's 1533-position model. The record is from RNAcentral.